CCCACUUGGAGCCGAACCCAGAAGGACAUUUCUUUCAUCACAGAAAACAAACAUACAGACCUCUAUACGGAUUUAUGAGAAACAGGUGCACCAGGAUGGUGUACAAAAUUCCAGUUACGUUGUGAUUCACACGAUGGACAAGGAUCACUACAUGCUGAGCAAAGAGUUCUGAGGGACUUUGCUAAGACCAGGCUGACUAGAUGGGAUGGAAAAUGAAACGGAAGUCCUGUUUCUUUUUAUUGCGAUGCAACAAGUCACAACACGAUUUGCUCUCCUGUGCCAAAAUCCCAGGGUAACUUCUAAACAGGCGUUGUCUUCUAGACUUUGUUUUGGAACCAUGGCAACUUUAAGAUGUGUGAAUAUCAACUCCUGGAAUUCCCCAGCCAGUGGGAAUUUCCAAAUAUGCUGCUCAGCUUCAAAGAUGA
This is a long non-coding RNA of Thamnophis elegans (Western terrestrial garter snake), 425 nucleotides long. RefSeq lists it as uncharacterized. Lineage: Eukaryota; Metazoa; Chordata; Lepidosauria; Squamata; Natricidae. The record is from RefSeq and is a predicted model, not a curated record. The transcript is spliced from 2 exons.